Molecule: ribosomal RNA, 492 nt
Filed under: uncultured bacterium
Lineage: Bacteria
Description: partial 16S ribosomal RNA
Rfam family: Bacterial small subunit ribosomal RNA
Source: RNAcentral
AGUGAACGCUGGCGGGAGGCCUAACACAUGCAAGUCGAACGGCAGCACGGUAAGAGCUUGCUGUUACGGGUGGCGACGGGGGGACGAUUGCGGAAAACAUCGCUAUCAACUGUUUCGAGGGUGAUGACGACGGGGAACGUACGCUAAUACAUCAGACGCCGUACGGGGGAGAGCAUGGGAACUUCCGACCUUGCGCGAGUGUAGGAGCGGAUGUCGGAUUAGCUGGUUGGCGGGCUAAAGGCGCACCAAGGCGACGAUCCGUAUCUGGUCUGAGAGGAUGAUCAGUCACACUGGAACUGAGACACGGUCCAGACUCCUACGGGAGGCAGCAGUGGGGAAUAUUGGACAAUGCGCGCAAGCCUGAUCCAGCCAUGCCGCGUGCGUGAAGAAGGCCUUCGGGUUGUAAAGCCCUUUUAGUGGGGACGAAGCGCAGUAUGUUAAUACCUCGCUGUUCUGACGGUACCCAAAGAAUAAGCACCGGCUAACUUCGUG